This 275-nucleotide ribosomal RNA is filed under the name uncultured bacterium. RNAcentral describes it as "partial 16S ribosomal RNA". It matches the Rfam family "Bacterial small subunit ribosomal RNA", at positions 338 to 627 of the family's 1533-position model. The record is from RNAcentral.
CCUACGGGGGGCUGCAGUGGGGAAUUUUCCGCAAUGGGCGAAAGCCUGACGGAGCAAGACCGCGUGAGGGAGGAAGGCCUACUGGUUGUAAACCUCUUUUGAUAGGGAAGAAGGAAGUGACGGUACCUAUCGAAUCAGCAUCGGCUAACUCCGUGCCAGCAGCCGCGGUAAUACGGAGGAUGCAAGCGUUAUCCGGAAUUAUUGGGCGUAAAGCGUCCGUAGGUGGUUAUUCAAGUCAGCUGUCAAAGGAUGGAGCUUAACUCCAUAAAGGCAGU